GACGAACGCUGGCGGCGUGCUUAACACAUGCAAGUCGAACGGAAAGGCCCUGCUUUUGUGGGGUUCUCGAUUGGCGAACGGGUGAGUAGCACGUGAGUAACCUGCCCUUGACUUUGUGAUAACUUCAGGAAACUGGGGCUAAUACCGGAUAGGAGCUCCUGCUGCAUGGUGGGGGUUGGAAAGUUUCGGCGGUUGGGGAUGGACUCGCGGCUUAUCAGCUGGUUUGUGGAGUUGUGGCUUACCAAGGCUUUGACGGGUAGCCGGCAUGAGAGGGUUACCGGCGACAUUGGGACUGAGAUACGGCGCAGACUCCUACGGGAGGCAGCAGUGGGGAAUAUUGCACAAUGGGCCGAAGCCUGAUGCAGCAACGCCGCGUGCGGGAUGACGGCCUUCGGGUUGUAAACCGCUUUCGCCUGUGACGAAGCGUGAGUGACGGUAAUGGGUAAAGAAGCACCGGCUAACUACGUG
RNAcentral lists this ribosomal RNA (468 nucleotides) under uncultured bacterium. RNAcentral's name for it is "partial 16S ribosomal RNA". It matches the Rfam family "Bacterial small subunit ribosomal RNA", at positions 28 to 507 of the family's 1533-position model. The record is from RNAcentral.